UUGCCAUGAUUUCACCUCUGCAUCAGGUGGGAAUGUGGAAGUGUCGGCCGGCGUUGCAUCGUCGGCCGACACGCCU
Molecule: small RNA, 76 nt
Filed under: Pseudomonas aeruginosa
Lineage: Bacteria; Pseudomonadati; Pseudomonadota; Gammaproteobacteria; Pseudomonadales; Pseudomonadaceae
Description: Plasmid transferred anti-sense RNA
Rfam family: Plasmid transferred anti-sense RNA
Source: RNAcentral